RNAcentral lists this long non-coding RNA (209 nucleotides) under Elaeis guineensis (African oil palm). RNAcentral describes it as "long non-coding RNA (EGUI_LNC081681)". Lineage: Eukaryota; Viridiplantae; Streptophyta; Magnoliopsida; Arecales; Arecaceae. The record is from RNAcentral.
AAUGUCAUUCACUUAAAAUAUAGGGGCAUAGAUUAGCUCAAAUCAGAUCCUCUUAAUUAGGUUAGACCUAAAGUUAUAGUCAAAGAGUUAAUGGACUAUCUAGAAAAAUUGAUUAAAUCUAACCAAAUAUUGAAUUAGAUUAAAUCAAGAUUUCUCUAGAACCAAUAUAAUAGUUGUAGAUGGUUAAGUCUAUGUCUUUGAUUAGACCA